CCAAUAGCGUAUAUUAAAGUUGUUGCAGUUAAAAAGCUCGUAGUUGAAUUUCGGGAUUGACACAUCGGUCGUGCCUUAAGGGGUGUGAACUGGUGUAGUCAAUUUCUCACCUUCUGGAGAGCCGCGAUGUCCUUAAUUGGGUGCCGCGAGGAACCAGGACCUUUACUUUGAAAAAAUUAGAGUGUUUAAAGCAGGCAUUUUUGCUUGAAUACAUUAGCAUGGAAUAAUAAAAUAGGACGGCAUGAUUCUAUUUUGUUGGUUUCUAGGAUCACCGUAAUGAUUAAUAGGGAUAGUUGGGGGCAUUAGUAUUCAAUUGUCAGAGGUGAAAUUCUUGGAUUUAUUGAAGACUAACUACUGCGAAAGCAUUUGCCAAGGAUGUUUUCAUUAAUCAAGAACGAAAGUUAGGGGAUCGAAGACGAUCAGAUACCGUCGUAGUCUUAACCAUAAACUAUGCCGACUAGGAAUCAGACGAUGUUAAUUUUUUAAUGACUCGUUUGGCACCUUACG
RNAcentral lists this ribosomal RNA (507 nucleotides) under uncultured Glomeromycotina. Its description in RNAcentral is "partial small subunit ribosomal RNA". It matches the Rfam family "Eukaryotic small subunit ribosomal RNA", at positions 591 to 1092 of the family's 1831-position model. The record is from RNAcentral. Lineage: Eukaryota; Fungi; Glomeromycota.